RNAcentral lists this ribosomal RNA (495 nucleotides) under uncultured bacterium. Its description in RNAcentral is "partial 16S ribosomal RNA". It matches the Rfam family "Bacterial small subunit ribosomal RNA", at positions 28 to 507 of the family's 1533-position model. The record is from RNAcentral.
GACGAACGCUGGCGGCGUGCCUAAUACAUGCAAGUAGGACGCUGAAGGAGGAGCUUGCUUCUCUGGAUGAGUUGCGAACGGGUGAGUAACGCGUAGGUAACCUGCCUGGUAGCGGGGGAUAACUAUUGGAAACGAUAGCUAAUACCGCAUAAUAGUAGAUGUUGCAUGACAUUUGCUUAAAAGGUGCAAUUGCAUCACUACCAGAUGGACCUGCGUUGUAUUAGCUAGUUGGUGGGGUAACGGCUCACCAAGGCGACGAUACAUAGCCGACCUGAGAGGGGGAUCGGCCACACUGGGACUGAGACACGGCCCAGACUCCUACGGGAGGCAGCAGUAGGGAAUCUUCGGCAAUGGACGGAAGUCUGACCGAGCAACGCCGCGUGAGUGAAGAAGGUUGUCGGAUCGUAAAGCUCUGUUGUAAGAGAAGAACGAGUGUGAGAGUGGAAAGUUCACACUGUGACGGUAUCUUACCAGAAAGGGACGGCUAACUACGUG